CAGAGGUGGCCAAAUCCCUAACCCUCGUUCCCCAUUUUGCAGAGCACGGCGGCGGCGUUCUUGUGCUUUGAGCACGACGCCGGCGGUCCUCUGUGUUGAGCACGACGGCGGCGGUCGUCUUCUGCGUUGAGGACGGCGGCGAAGGUGCAGAAGUGAGCACGGCGGCGAGCCAUUGAACCUGAGGAUGCUAGGACUUCUGGUUAUGUCAAAUGGAUUGACAAACCAUGGCAGGGAGGGAAAGAAGUGUCAUAGCUGAAUUAGCAAAGAAGAAUGAGGUGCUGGAGAUGAAGCUGGUGGAGAUAGUUGGUGAGAUAGAAGCAGAGAAGGAGAAGCACAAGAUGGAGAAGAAGAUGACUGGAAGGAUGCAUAGAGAUCAGCUUCAAUCUAGAGAUAGGAUGAUUAUGUUUGCUGUGUGCAUGUACUUUGGAUUAGUUGCAAUUGUGUUUGAAAUCUUUGACAGGAAGUGAUGUAUCCGGUUCCUAUUUAGAGAGGAGUUAUGUGUACUGAAACAUGUGAACAAAAUGUAGUAUUUGGUAAUUAAGAAGUGUGGUACAGAAUGUAGUAUUUGGUAAUUAAGAAGUGUGGUUUCAUGUCAAA
This is a long non-coding RNA of Aegilops tauschii subsp. strangulata, 597 nucleotides long. RefSeq lists it as uncharacterized. The record is from RefSeq and is a predicted model, not a curated record. Lineage: Eukaryota; Viridiplantae; Streptophyta; Magnoliopsida; Poales; Poaceae.